This 430-nucleotide ribosomal RNA is filed under the name uncultured bacterium. RNAcentral's name for it is "bacterial SSU rRNA". It matches the Rfam family "Bacterial small subunit ribosomal RNA", at positions 340 to 786 of the family's 1533-position model. The record is from RNAcentral.
UACGGAAGGCAGCAGUGGGGAAUCUUAGACAAUGGGGGCAACCCUGAUCUAGCCAUGCCGCGUGAGUGAUGAAGGCCUUAGGGUUGUAAAGCUCUUUCAGCUGGGAAGAUAAUGACGGUACCAGCAGAAGAAGCCCCGGCUAACUCCGUGCCAGCAGCCGCGGUAAUACGGAGGGGCUAGCGUUGUUCGGAAUUACUGGGCGUAAAGCGCACGUAGGCGGACUGGAAAGUCAGAGGUGAAAUCCCAGGGCUCAACCUUGGAACUGCCUUUUGAAACUAUCAGUCUGGAGUUCGAGAGAGGUGAGUGGAAUUCCGAGUGUAGAGGUGAAAUUCGUAGAUAUUCGGAGGAACACCAGUGGCGAAGGCGGCUCACUGGCUCGAUACUGACGCUGAGGUGCGAAAGCGUGGGGAGCAAACAGGGAUUAGAUACC